UGUGCCUCCAUGUUCUCAUCUGUAAAAUGGGCUCUAAAACUCUACCUACUCGUAGUGCUGUUUAGGGAUUACUGGGUUAAUGCAAUUAAGGCGCUUGCAUCACACCUGGCAUACAAGAAGCCCUCCAGAUAUGAUAGAUAUAAUUGUCAUGAUCAUUAUUAUGCACUUAGCCGGCAAACAUUCGCAUAUCCGAGCGCUCACUCUGAGCGACUCUGUGCGUUGGGUUCGAGGGAGCAGGAGUGGACUGGGCGGACCUGCUCUGCCAGAGCGCACUUGUUGGCAAAUACACGAUGUUCACAGGGAGUAAUACGGCGAAGGGGAACGGGUGAUGUGACGGCGCGACUGGGGAAGAGUCAGUCUCUCCCCCGGUCUGCGUCUCCGUCUCCCCUUGGGUUAAAGAGGGUUUUUCAGGCAUUCUGGCACCAGGGCCGAAAGGAAGGAGCAAGGCGCGAGGUCUCCAAACGUGGGAGACGCUGGACGGCGCCCGCAUCUGGGGCCGGGGGCUCGAGGUUAACUGUGCGUCCCCGCCUCAGGGACACCUGGGGAGCGAAUUCACCUCGGCUCUGCAGCUGAGACCCACAGCGCGCCCAGAGGUCUCUCCCGCGCUUUCCGCCGGUCCCAGCCGGCCUUGCCACGAGGGCGUGGCUACCCUCAUUUUCUCCAGGGCCGGACCGUGACUCACCCAGGGAAGGUGUUGAUCCCAACCGACUCCGGGUACUGAAUUUGCCCCGCAACAGACGUUACCUCUCACUGUUCUGGGUACAAAGAUUUUAAAGCGACUGAAUGUCCCUGAUGGGUCAGGCCCUGGCCUUACCUCGUGCACUCUUCAGAACAAUCCUGAGUCUUUUUCUUUUUCUUUUUUCUUUUUUUUUUUCAGAUUUUACGGUUGGUGAGAGUGCUUGCUCAGUUAUCCCCGCAACCUGUCCACUCUAGAGUCAGCCCUGUGUCCAUCUCGGCAGGAAAGCAGAAGAACCCAAUGCAAGGGUGGGGGAGGGGGCAAGGCCAGACCAGGCACACUGAGCAGGGCAGAGGUCACCCCUGCUCCUCCUUCAUGACUCCCCCUCCGGAUUUCAAGGGCCCUUGUCACACAGAACACCCCAGAAUGAAGCCGCUGCCUUUGAAUGGAAGCUGGUGGUGCGCACGACACUGGCCCAUGGCCAACAGUCUCUGUUCCUCCGUCCAGUCUCUAGAAUCCAGAGAAAUGUUAUGAAACACAGACUUCAUUCAUUCAAUAGAUGUUUUUUGUAGACCACUCUGAGGCAGACCCUGAACUGGGCAUGAGAAUGUGAACAAAACCAACACUACCUGAUGCAUGGAGAGAGAAUACCAGAGAGAACACAGCUCAGAAGUCCAGGAAUCCUGCCUCCAGGGUCCACCUGCCAGGGCUUCAGCCAUACAGAUGGGCCCACACCAGGCUAACUCCAGAUCAAGAGCCUGAUCAUGGCCCGUUCCAGCUCAGGCCACGGCCUGGAAGCCUCCCCCUUGGUCCACAGAGGGGUCUCAAAGUUUCACCUUCAGAGCCCUAGGCAGCUUUCCAUAUGAAAGGCCCACGUUCUGUGGGAACAGGCUAAGG
Molecule: long non-coding RNA, 1573 nt
Filed under: Oryctolagus cuniculus (rabbit)
Lineage: Eukaryota; Metazoa; Chordata; Mammalia; Lagomorpha; Leporidae
Description: lncRNA (ENSOCUG00000034883.1)
Source: RNAcentral